ACGGGAGGCAGCAGUGAGGAAUAUUGGUCAAUGGGCGAGAGCUUGAACCAGCCAAGUCGCGUGCGGGACGAAGGCCCUACGGGUCGUAAACCGCUUUUAUACGGGAAUAAAGUGCGCCACGCGUGGCGUUUUGCAGGUACCGUAGGAAUAAGGAUCGGCUAACUCCGUGCCAGCAGCCGCGGUAAUACGGAGGAUCCGAGCGUUAUCCGGAUUUAUUGGGUUUAAAGGGAGCGUAGGCCGUGCUUUAAGCGUGUUGUGAAAUGUAGGCGCCCAACGUCUGCACUGCAGCGCGAACUGGAGCACUUGAGUACGCAGGAAGUAGGCGGAAUUCGUCGUGUAGCGGUGAAAUGCUUAGAUAUGACGAAGAACUCCGAUUGGGAAGCCAGCUUACUGUAGCGCCACUGACGCUGAUGCUCGAAAGCGUGGGUAUCGAACAGGAUUAGAUACCCUGGUA
Molecule: ribosomal RNA, 454 nt
Filed under: uncultured Prevotella sp.
Lineage: Bacteria; Pseudomonadati; Bacteroidota; Bacteroidia; Bacteroidales; Prevotellaceae
Description: partial 16S ribosomal RNA
Rfam family: Bacterial small subunit ribosomal RNA
Source: RNAcentral